UUGGAGGGCAAGUCUGGUGCCAGCAGCCGCGGUAAUUCCAGCUCCAAUAGCGUAUAUUAAAGUUGUUGCAGUUAAAAAGCUCGUAGUUGAAUUUCGGGAUCAAUAUGUUGGUCGUGCCUUGGUACGUACUGGCGUCAUUGGUUUCUACCUUCUGAAGAACCUCGAUGUCAUUAAUUUGGUGUCUUGGGGAAUCAGGACUGUUACUUUGAAAAAAUUAGAGUGUUUAAAGCAAGCUCACGCUUGAAUACAUUAGCAUGGAAUAAUGAAAUAGGACGUUUGAUUUUAUUUUGUUGGUUUCUAGGAUCGACGUAAUGAUUAAUAGGGAUAGUUGGGGGCAUUAGUAUUCAAUUGUCAGAGGUGAAAUUCUUGGAUUUAUUGAAGACUAACUACUGCGAAAGCAUUUGCCAAGGAUGUUUUCAUUAAUCAAGAACGAAAGUUAGGGGAUCGAAGACGAUCAGAUACCGUCGUAGUCUUAACCAUAAACUAUGCCGACUAGGGAUCGGAUGAUGUUAAUUUUUUAAUGACUCAUUCGGCGCCUUACGGGAAACCAAAGUGUUUGGGUUC
This 564-nucleotide ribosomal RNA is filed under the name uncultured Glomus. Its description in RNAcentral is "SSU rRNA". It matches the Rfam family "Eukaryotic small subunit ribosomal RNA", at positions 548 to 1114 of the family's 1831-position model. The record is from RNAcentral. Lineage: Eukaryota; Fungi; Glomeromycota; Glomeromycetes; Glomerales; Glomeraceae.